RNAcentral lists this ribosomal RNA (490 nucleotides) under uncultured bacterium. Its description in RNAcentral is "partial 16S ribosomal RNA". It matches the Rfam family "Bacterial small subunit ribosomal RNA", at positions 28 to 523 of the family's 1533-position model. The record is from RNAcentral.
GACGAACGCUGGCGGCGUGCCUAACACAUGCAAGUCGAACGGGACCAGGGGCAACUCUGGUUCAGUGGCGGACGGGUGCGUAACACGUGAGGAACAUGACCUUCGGCGGGGGAUAGCCGGCCCAACGGCCGGGUAAUACCGCGUACGACCUUUCGGGGACAUCCCUGGAUGGUGAAAGCAGCAAUGCGCCGAUGGAGUGCCUCGCGGCCUAUCAGCUAGUUGGUGGGGUAACGGCCUACCAAGGCGACGACGGGUAGCUGGUCUGAGAGGAUGGCCAGCCACAUUGGGACUGAGACACGGCGCAGACUCCUACGGGAGGCAGCAGUGGGGAAUAUUGCGCAAUGGACGAAAGUCUGACGCAGCGACGCCGCGUGUGGGAUGACGGUCUUCGGAUUGUAAACCACUGGCGGGAGGGACGAAUACGCCGCAAGGCGGGUGACGGUACCUCCAAAGGAAGCACCGGCUAACUCCGUGCCAGCCGCCGCCGUAA